UGGGGGAUAACGUUCGGAAACGGACGCUAAUACCGCAUACGUCCUACGGGAGAAAGCAGGGGACCUUCGGGCCUUGCGCUAUCAGAUGAGCCUAGGUCGGAUUAGCUAGUUGGUGGGGUAAUGGCUCACCAAGGCGACGAUCCGUAACUGGUCUGAGAGGAUGAUCAGUCACACUGGAACUGAGACACGGUCCAGACUCCUACGGGAGGCAGCAGUGGGGAAUAUUGGACAAUGGGCGAAAGCCUGAUCCAGCCAUGCCGCGUGUGUGAAGAAGGUCUUCGGAUUGUAAAGCACUUUAAGUUGGGAGGAAGGGCUGUUACCUAAUACGUGAUGGUUUUGACGUUACCGACAGAAUAAGCACCGGCUAACUCUGUGCCAGCAGCCGCGGUAAUACAGAGGGUGCAAGCGUUAAUCGGAAUUACUGGGCGUAAAGCGCGCGUAGGUGGUUUGUUAAGUUGGAUGUGAAAUCCCCGGGCUCAACCUGGGAACUGCAUUCAAAACUGACUGACUAGAGUAUGGUAGAGGGUGGUGGAAUUUCCUGUGUAGCGGUGAAAUGCGUA
RNAcentral lists this ribosomal RNA (560 nucleotides) under Pseudomonas sp. N2-8. Its description in RNAcentral is "bacterial SSU rRNA". It matches the Rfam family "Bacterial small subunit ribosomal RNA", at positions 137 to 692 of the family's 1533-position model. Lineage: Bacteria; Pseudomonadati; Pseudomonadota; Gammaproteobacteria; Pseudomonadales; Pseudomonadaceae. The record is from RNAcentral.